RNAcentral lists this ribosomal RNA (429 nucleotides) under uncultured archaeon. RNAcentral describes it as "bacterial SSU rRNA". It matches the Rfam family "Archaeal small subunit ribosomal RNA", at positions 474 to 903 of the family's 1478-position model. The record is from RNAcentral.
UACCAGCUCUCCGAGUGGUAGGGAUGAUUAUUGGGCUUAAAGCGUCCGUAGCCGGCUUAGCAAGUUCCCUGUUAAAUUCAGCGACCUAAUCGUUGAGCCGCGGGAAAUACUACUAGGCUAGGAGGCGGGAGAGGUCGACGGUACUUCUGGGGUAGGGGUGAAAUCCUAUAAUCCCGGGAGGACCACCAGUGGCGAAGGCUGUCGACUAGAACGCGCUCGACGGUGAGGGACGAAAGCUGGGGGAGCGAACCGGAUUAGAUACCCGGGUAGUCCCAGCUGUAAACGAUGCGGGCUAGGUGUUGGGGUGGCUACGUGCCACUUCAGUGCCGCAGGGAAGCCAUUAAGCCCGCCGCCUGGGGAGUACGGCCGCAAGGCUGAAACUUAAAGGAAUUGGCGGGGGAGCACCACAAGGCGUGAAGCUUGCGGUUC